GGAAUAUUGGACAAUGGAGGCAACUCUGAUCCAGCCAUCCCGCGUGCAGGAUGAAGGCCCUAUGGGUCGUAAACUGCUUUUGACAGGGAAGAACCCCGCCUUUUUAAAGGUGGCUGCCGGUACCUAUCGAAUAAGCACCGGCUAACUCCGUGCCAGCAGCCGCGGUAAUACGGAGGGUGCAAGCGUUAUCCGGAAUCACUGGGUUUAAAGGGUGCGUAGGCGGCGCAGUAAGUCAGGGGUGAAAGCCUCCCGCUCAACGGGAGAAAUGCCUUUGAUACUGUUGCGCUUGAAUCAGGUUGAGGGCAGCGGAAUGUGGCAUGUAGCGGUGAAAUGCAUAGAUAUGCCACAGAACACCGAUUGCGAAGGCAGCUGCCUGGGCCUGGAUUGACGCUGAGGCACGAAAGCGUGGGGAGCGAA
This 417-nucleotide ribosomal RNA is filed under the name uncultured bacterium. RNAcentral describes it as "bacterial SSU rRNA". It matches the Rfam family "Bacterial small subunit ribosomal RNA", at positions 358 to 772 of the family's 1533-position model. The record is from RNAcentral.